AUGAACGCUGGCGGCGUGCUUAACACAUGCAAGUCGAACGAAGAUGCCGGAGUGCUUGCACUUUGGCAGACUGAGUGGCGAACGGGUGAGUAACGCGUGAGGAACCUGCCUCAAAGAGGGGGACAACAGUUGGAAACGACUGCUAAUACCGCAUAAGCCCACGGCUCGGCAUCGAGCAGAGGGAAAAGGAGCGAUCCGCUUUGAGAUGGCCUCGCGUCUGAUUAGCUGGUUGGUGAGGUAACGGCCCACCAAGGCGACGAUCAGUAGCCGACCUGAGAGGGUGACCGGCCACAUUGGGACUGAGACACGGCCCAGACUCCUACGGGAGGCAGCAGUGGGGAAUAUUGCACAAUGGAGGAAACUCUGAUGCAGCGACGCCGCGUGAGUGAAGAAGUAGUUCGCUAUGUAAAGCUCUAUCAGCAGGGAAGAUAGUGACGGUACCUGACUAAGAAGCUCCGGCUAAAUACGUG
RNAcentral lists this ribosomal RNA (470 nucleotides) under uncultured bacterium. RNAcentral's name for it is "bacterial SSU rRNA". It matches the Rfam family "Bacterial small subunit ribosomal RNA", at positions 29 to 507 of the family's 1533-position model. The record is from RNAcentral.